RNAcentral lists this ribosomal RNA (910 nucleotides) under Curtobacterium sp. UFLA CWFB33. Its description in RNAcentral is "partial 16S ribosomal RNA". Lineage: Bacteria; Bacillati; Actinomycetota; Actinomycetes; Micrococcales; Microbacteriaceae. The record is from RNAcentral.
AGGGUUAGGCCACCGGCUUCGGGUGUUACCGACUUUCAUGACUUGACGGGCGGUGUGUACAAGGCCCGGGAACGUAUUCACCGCAGCGUUGCUGAUCUGCGAUUACUAGCGACUCCGACUUCAUGAGGUCGAGUUGCAGACCUCAAUCCGAACUGAGACCGGCUUUUUGGGAUUCGCUCCACCUUACGGUAUCGCAGCCCUUUGUACCGGCCAUUGUAGCAUGCGUGAAGCCCAAGACAUAAGGGGCAUGAUGAUUUGACGUCAUCCCCACCUUCCUCCGAGUUGACCCCGGCAGUCUCCUAUGAGUCCCCGCCAUAACGCGCUGGCAACAUAGAACGAGGGUUGCGCUCGUUGCGGGACUUAACCCAACAUCUCACGACACGAGCUGACGACAACCAUGCACCACCUGUACACCGACCACAAGGGGGCGACCAUCUCUGGCCGUUUCCGGUGUAUGUCAAGCCUUGGUAAGGUUCUUCGCGUUGCAUCGAAUUAAUCCGCAUGCUCCGCCGCUUGUGCGGGCCCCCGUCAAUUCCUUUGAGUUUUAGCCUUGCGGCCGUACUCCCCAGGCGGGGCGCUUAAUGCGUUAGCUACGACACAGAAACCGUGGAAAGGUCCCUACAUCUAGCGCCCAACGUUUACGGCGUGGACUACCAGGGUAUCUAAUCCUGUUCGCUCCCCACGCUUUCGCUCCUCAGCGUCAGUUACGGCCCAGAGAUCUGCCUUCGCCAUCGGUGUUCCUCCUGAUAUCUGCGCAUUCCACCGCUACACCAGGAAAUUCCAAUCUCCCCUACCGCACUCUAGUCUGCCCGUACCCACUGCAAGCCCGAGGUUUGAGCCUCGGGAUUUCACAGCAGACGCGACAAACCGCCUACGAGCUCUUUACGCCCAAUAUUCCUGACGACGCUGC